CCAUAGUUCAUAAUUCAUCGAGCUGUAAACGAGCUAGGGUCGUCUAUUUGGGCACGAGCUCGAGCUCAGCUCGUUCUAGAAGCGACGGAGGCGGCGGCGGCGGAGUCGGUGAAUCUGAAAAAAUUAAUUGACGAAAUGAUGUGUUUUUCUUUCAGUCGAUGGGGUGGAGGGUUGACAACGGCGGCGAAAAGUAGAGAAGACGAAUUGAAUGGUGAGGGGAUUGAUUUCGGGCGGUGUGGGGUGGGGUGGGGUGGGGUGGGGCGGUGCGGUGGUGAGAGAGAGGCGGCGGGUUCGGAAUUGGAGAUACAAUUUGGAGGGUUGUGUGUCCACGAUAUAAUUAUUUGUACGUAUUUUUCUUAUAUUGAAUUUAAUUAUUAAUUCUAAAAAUAAUUUGAAAUUACACAACACAAAAGUACAAAAUAAUUAAAUGAAUUAGAAAAUUUACAUUACAUGAUAAAAAAGGUUUUAGAAGAUUAAAAAAGAGAAUUUCAUAUCAUACUAUUUAUAUCACAUGCCAACAAAAUAUAAACAAUCCUAAUGGGCUAAAAAAAUAUAUUUGAAGACCGUAAUUACUAAUCGUAUAAAUUUGUACAUAUAUUAUUUUAGUCGGUAAAGCGAUAACAUGCAUAUAUAUUCUAUUAAAUGCAUAACUAUGUUAUUUUGUAUAAAUAAUCUUGUUUCAAAUUUGUUUAGAGACUAAAUAAACACUCAUUUAUCCAUACAAUUGAACAGCGGGAGAAAGUUUGUUGUUGAAAGAGGCCCAACAUUAGCCCAUUAUCAAAUACUAUAUUCUUACAAAUUAAUAAAUAGUACGUAUAUGUUUUUUUAAAUAUAAGAAACAUACAACGGAAACGCCACCACCAUACUACUCCGGCUUUAUUUUUAAUGUAUAUUUUAUAAAUUUAUAUUUAAACAUACUUACAAUUUAUCUCUUUUUAUAAAAAGUAUACAAAUUUCAUAUUGAUAGAUUUAUUGAAAUCGUGAAAGAGUCAAAGAAAAAUAAAUGUGAUACUAGAUGAGGAAAAUUUUCAUUAUUGCAUUUAUGUAGUGUUAUUUGAAAAGAUGUAAAUAUAUUCUUUAUAUAUAUACAUUGGCAAUUUCUUUUUAUAUUUUAAAAGUAUUAUUUUAUUUUAUAAAAAUUGUAUAAUUAAGUUCACAUAACUAUUAAUUAUACAACUAAAACAUAACAUGCUACUAAUAAUUUUCCUCCUAAUGAAAAUGGUGCCUUAAAUAUAUUUGCAUGGGUUUUUAGUUUUUACCUAUGGGUGUAAGCACUGAUCAAUUUGUCCAAAUUUGACCCAUGGGUGUAGCACUGAAUUUAUCUCCCCAAUAUUUUCAAAAUUUUUCUGUUUUCUAAAUUUACACACCAAUAUCUGAAGCACUUCAUCAAGUAGAAACGUUUGAAAAGAAAAAUAACAAUCAAGGUUUCAUUCAUAGCAAUAAGAAGUUAAUCCAAAAGUGUCAAAUUGCUCCACUGCCCUGAAUAAGCAAAACAAAAUGAAACAAACAGGGUAACAAAAACUGAAACAGGGUUGAAGGAAAGUAAAAUCUAACUCCCCAUCUCGGAGCAUAACGCCGUCAUUGCAAAAUAUUUAUAGAAAAUGUACGACAAAAGCUAUUACGCGUCUAAGAAGACAAUCAGCUAGUUACCUGGAGUCAUGUGGCAUUCCUAUGAUUAAAGACAUAACUUGGUAAGAUCAAUAAUCACAGAAAACCAAUUGAGCAGUUGGGGAGGAUCUUGGCAUUCUCAACAGUUUCUGUGAUGCCAAAAACAAAGAUUUUGAUGGACGUUGAGGUGGCAUGAUUCCUUUUACGUUGAUCACCAUCUUUUCUAGAUUGAUUGCGUAUUUUAACAGAUACUCUAAGAAUGGAAAUACGUCGUCAUCCUCAUCCCAAGUAACCACAACUGUCCUCAACUGCAGAAAGGACUUGGGAGGAUAUGCUUCAAACUUGAGGUAGCUCAUGGCAUCAAAGUUGAGUGACUCUCGGUUUUCAUGCGCCCCGUAUCCUCCACUCCAUACAAUGACUAACUUCUUUAAUUGAGGGAAACUCUCAAGUAGGCCUACUAAUAGUUUGUAGUCACUGAAACAAAAUCUGAGUUCUAAGGACUUGACAUUAGGAUAAGAGGAAUUNCCCGUAUCCUCCACUACAUACAAUGACUAACUUCUUUAAUUGAGGGAAACUCUCAAGUAGGCCUACUAAUAGUUUAGUAGUCACUGAACAAAAUCUGAGUUCUAAGGACUUGACAUUAGGAUAAGAGGAAUUCAUGCAUCUCUUUAUCAUAGCUCCAAGCACCUAAUGUAACAUAAGUUCAUAAAAUAAUCAGCUCACUGAAGCAAACACCAAGUAAGAUAAAAGGCAAGCAUUGAUUUUUAGGGAUGCAACAGUGACUUCAUCAAAUUAAAAGAAUGUCAAACAUUCCAUAUCAUUUAUGGUUAUUACAAUACUAACAUACAAGUCACAAGCUUGAUGCUACAAAGUAAUGCAUAUAUAAAUUCUAGAAUGGAUUUAAAAAGGCCAAAAAAUGGAUAGGAGUUAGUUGCAUGAUAAAUGUGGGAACUCUUAUAAGUGGUUCAGUUAAAGAAGCCAAUGAUGCAACAAAGAAAGCAUACAAACACCGCCAUGCCAUCCAAGCUGAGAUUCACAGAUUAAUUGAAGUUAGAAUUACGAGAACAUGACUAACAACUAUGCUAAAUAAAUAAUGAAAACUUCAUCAAUAUAUUUAGAAUUAAUUUGAUCUCUUCAGUCUCAUUGCUACUCUAUUAAUACAUAACAAAUGCAAGACACAUAAGAUAGUUUAAAGAAACCAAACCUUGAUGCAAAGAACAUUAAUUUGACGUUUACAACAUGUUGCAUGGUUGAGAGAAAUUGACAGAACACGUCUCCCAGAAAAUCAUCCUUGGUAAACAAGCCAAGCUUGGUGUCCAUCCAAGGAAAGACACUUUCAUUUCCAUCAAAUUCAUAACCAUGUAGACCAAAAAACCCAAGAGUUGCAUUGGUCAAAGAUGAGAUAUUCACCAACAUACUCUUUCUAUAUGGAACUCCUUCAAUUUCCAAGGUUUCAAGAUUCGGGGUACAAAUUCUCAGUUCGGAAUCCCACCAUAGUAGAUCUUCACGAGAACAAAAAAACUCGCGAAUCGACAGCACUUUCAAACUAGUAGAUCGGAUACACAAGUGUUCACCCAUAUCGACAAAAGACAUGAUCAAGACUUCCAACUGAGGACUACCACAAAGUAUCUGGUUAAUCAAAGUUCAGUGACCCCAAAGCCAUAAGUAAUUGUUAAACUUUUGAGUUGAUUCCACUGCACAUUCCCAUAUACUCUAAAGUUACAAUCCUCAAACGAUAACACCUUAAGCGAUGAGCACGAGUAUACACACUGUGGCACAUAGUAUAUGUCGUCCAUACUAUCAAAAUCAUCAUCCCAAUCUUUUGGUAACCUAAUAUGUAAGUAGAAUUCUUCGACCCCUUAUCUGCAAAUUGAACCACAAAUCAACCCAAAUAAUGGACCCAUCAUUCUGAUAAACCGAUUUGACCUUAUAACCCAUUUAACUUGAAUUUCAGAACCUUACCCCAUUCCAGCGAUAAGGCCCGAUUAACGAAGUUUUAAGCUUUCUAUCAUCAUAAUUCAUGCAUAUUGUCGAAAUUAAGGAGGUGCGGUGGUCCAAAGGUUUUUCCAGCGCUUCGAUAGAAUCGUUGUCCUAACAACAUCAGUCAUAGGCAACGACCAAAAUAUGUGAAAUAUUAACGAGUCCGGCAACUCACUGAGUCGAUCCAUGAAAACCUCUGAAACAUAUGAAGCAUCAAUGAAUGAAAUGAGCACAAAAACUCAGAAUUCACCUUUAA
RNAcentral lists this long non-coding RNA (3844 nucleotides) under Salvia miltiorrhiza (redroot sage). RNAcentral's name for it is "long non-coding RNA (SMIL_LNC007976)". The record is from RNAcentral. Lineage: Eukaryota; Viridiplantae; Streptophyta; Magnoliopsida; Lamiales; Lamiaceae.